RNAcentral lists this ribosomal RNA (657 nucleotides) under Holtermanniella festucosa. RNAcentral's name for it is "LSU rRNA". It matches the Rfam family "Eukaryotic large subunit ribosomal RNA", at positions 38 to 682 of the family's 3401-position model. Lineage: Eukaryota; Fungi; Basidiomycota; Tremellomycetes; Holtermanniales. The record is from RNAcentral.
GCAUAUCAAUAAGCGGAGGAAAAGAAACUAACAAGGAUUCCCCUAGUAACGGCGAGUGAAGCGGGAUGAGCUCAAAUUUGUAAUCUGGUGGACUCAGUUCAUCCGAGUUGUAAUCUAUAGAAAAGUUUUCCGCGCCGGACCGUGUCUAAGUCCCUUGGAACAGGGUGUCAGAGAGGGUGAGAAUCCCGUGCUUGAUACGACCACCGGUGCUAUGUGAUACUUUUUCAACGAGUCGAGUUGUUUGGGAAUGCAGCUCAAAAUGGGUGGUAAAUUCCAUCUAAAGCUAAAUAUUGGCGAGAGACCGAUAGCGAACAAGUACCGUGAGGGAAAGAUGAAAAGCACUUUGGAAAGAGAGUUAAACAGUACGUGAAAUUGUUAAAAGGGAAACGAUUGAAGUCAGUCGUGCUCUCUGGGACUCAGCCGGUUCUUCCGGUGUAUUUCCCAGUGAGCGGGUCAACAUCAGUUUAGAUCGCUGGAUAAGGUCAUUAGGAAUGUGGCUCCCUCGGGAGUGUUAUAGCCUAGUGUCGCAUACAGUGGUUUAGACUGAGGAACGCAGCUCGCCUUUAUGGCCGGGGUUCGCCCACGUCCGAGCUUAGGAUGUUGACAUAAUGGCUUUAAACGACCCGUCUUGAAACACGGACCAAGGAGUCUAACAUA